Molecule: ribosomal RNA, 304 nt
Filed under: uncultured bacterium
Lineage: Bacteria
Description: partial 16S ribosomal RNA
Rfam family: Bacterial small subunit ribosomal RNA
Source: RNAcentral
CAGCAGCAGCCGCGGUAAUACAGAGGGUGCGAGCGUUAAUCGGAUUUACUGGGCGUAAAGCGUGCGUAGGCGGCUUUUUAAGUCGGAUGUGAAAUCCCUGAGCUUAACUUAGGAAUUGCAUUCGAUUCUGGAAAGCUAGAGUAUGGGAGAGGAUGGUAGAAUUCCAGGUGUAGCGGUGAAAUGCGUAGAGAUCUGGAGGAAUACCGAUGGCGAAGGCAGCCAUCUGGCCUAAUACUGACGCUGAGGUACGAAAGCAUGGGGAGCAAACAGGAUUAGAUACCCCUGUAGUCCCUGUCUCUUAUAC